This 444-nucleotide ribosomal RNA is filed under the name uncultured bacterium. RNAcentral's name for it is "bacterial SSU rRNA". It matches the Rfam family "Bacterial small subunit ribosomal RNA", at positions 355 to 796 of the family's 1533-position model. The record is from RNAcentral.
UAAGGAAUAUUGGUCAAUGGACGCAAGUCUGAACCAGCCAUGCCGCGUGGAGGAUGAAUGCCCUCUGGGUUGUAAACUCCUUUUAUCUGGGAAGAAACCCGAGAAUUCUUUUUCGGUUGACGGUACCAGAGGAAUAAGCACCGGCUAACUCCGUGCCAGCAGCCGCGGUAAUACGGAGGGUGCAAGCGUUAUCCGGAUUCACUGGGUUUAAAGGGUGCGUAGGUGGGCAGGUAAGUCAGUGGUGAAAUCUUUGGGCUUAACCCGAAAACUGCCAUUGAUACUAUCUGUCUUGAAUGUUGUGGAGGUGAGCGGAAUAUGUCAUGUAGCGGUGAAAUGCUUAGAUAUGACAUAGAACAUCGAUUGCGAAGGCAGCUCGCUACGCAAAUAUUGACACUGAGGCACGAAAGCGUGGGGAUCAAACAGGAUUAGAUACCCGUGUAGUCC